This 482-nucleotide ribosomal RNA is filed under the name uncultured bacterium. Its description in RNAcentral is "partial 16S ribosomal RNA". It matches the Rfam family "Bacterial small subunit ribosomal RNA", at positions 28 to 523 of the family's 1533-position model. The record is from RNAcentral.
GACGAACGCUGGCGGCGUGCUUAACACAUGCAAGUCGAACGAUGAAACCUAGCUUGCUAGGUCGAUUGGUGGCGAACGGGUGAGUAACACGUGACUAACCUGCCCCUUUCUCUGGGAUAACGCUCCGAAAGGAGUGCUAAUACCGGAUACUCACACCGAGGCACAUGCCUUGGUGUGGAAAGUUUUUCGGAAAGGGAUGGAGUCGCGGCCUAUCAGCUUGUUGGUGAGGUAACGGCUCACCAAGGCGACGACGGGUAGCCGGCCUGAGAGGGCGACAGGCCACACUGGGACUGAGACACGGCCCAGACUCCUACGGGAGGCAGCAGUGGGGAAUAUUGCACAAUGGGCGCAAGCCUGAUGCAGCGACGCCGCGUGAGGGAUGAAGGUCUUCGGAUUGUAAACCUCUUUCAGUAGGGACGAAGCGAAAGUGACGGUACCUAAAGAAGAAGCACCGGCUAACUACGUGCCAGCCGCCGCCGUAA